RNAcentral lists this transfer-messenger RNA (357 nucleotides) under bacterium. Its description in RNAcentral is "JABLXU01 sp013177805 Standard tmRNA". It matches the Rfam family "transfer-messenger RNA". From Rfam's summary of the family: Bacterial tmRNA, also known as 10Sa RNA or SsrA, is named for its dual tRNA and mRNA-like properties. Its role is to liberate the mRNA from a stalled ribosome. To accomplish this part of the tmRNA is used as a reading frame that ends in a translation stop signal. The record is from RNAcentral. RNAcentral also lists the same sequence under 1 other name.
GGGGGCGUACCGGUUUCGACGGAGACGAGUUGGCUGGUAAGAGCAUGCCGAGGUUCCGCAGGCCUCGUUAAACAGGCGGACCAACUAUAACUGCCAACGAUUAUCAAGAAUUGCCCUUGGCGGCCUAAGGGCCGUCACGCCGCGCCGGAUUUCUCCUCUUCAAUCGGGCGAGUGGCGUUAUACGGAAGGGGAUAGCGGGAAGGCCCGCCUUCGGCUAACCCGCGAAGUGCUCAGAAGGCUGGCGGUUCCCAAGCCGGUCCCGGCGCUUGGAACUGUGAGAUGGAGCUGAGACUAAGCAUGUAGGGCUUGCCAGUUGGACGUUUUCGGACGCGGGUUCGACUCCCGCCGCCUCCACCA